UACGGAGGGUGCAAGCGUUGUUCGGAAUUAUUGGGCGUAAAGCGCGUGUAGGCGGCUUUGCAAGUCGGGUGUGAAAGCCCUCGGCUCAACCGAGGAAGUGCACCCGAAACUGCAGAGCUUGAGUACCGGAGAGGAUGGCGGAAUUCCCCAAGUAGAGGUGAAAUUCGUAGAUAUGGGGAGGAACACCGGUGGCGAAGGCGGCCAUCUGGACGGAUACUGACGCUGAGACGCGAAAGCGUGGGUAGCAAACAGG
This 253-nucleotide ribosomal RNA is filed under the name uncultured bacterium. Its description in RNAcentral is "partial 16S ribosomal RNA". It matches the Rfam family "Bacterial small subunit ribosomal RNA", at positions 524 to 776 of the family's 1533-position model. The record is from RNAcentral.